GUGCCAGUCGCCGCGGUAAUACCGGCAGCUCAAGUGAUGUCCCAUAUUAUUGGGCCUAAAGCGUCCGUAGCUGGCCGCGCAAGUCCGUCGGGAAAUCCACCUGCCCAACAGGUGGGCGUCCGGCGGAAACUGUGUGGCUUGGAACCGGAAGGCUCAGAGAGUACGUCCGGGGUAGGAGUGAAAUCCCGUAAUCCCGGACGGACUACCGAUGGCGAAAGCACUCUGAGAAGACGGCUUCGACAGUGAGGGACGAAAGCUCGGGUCUCAAACCGGAUUAGAUACCCGUGUAGUCC
This 293-nucleotide ribosomal RNA is filed under the name uncultured bacterium. RNAcentral describes it as "partial 16S ribosomal RNA". It matches the Rfam family "Archaeal small subunit ribosomal RNA", at positions 455 to 747 of the family's 1478-position model. The record is from RNAcentral.